This is a transfer RNA of 114 nucleotides. It matches the Rfam family "tRNA". Rfam says of the family: Transfer RNA (tRNA) molecules are approximately 80 nucleotides in length. The record is from Rfam.
GCCCGGCUAGCUCAAUCGGUAGAGCGUGAGACUCUUAAAUCUCCAUCAUGAUGCACCAUCAUCUUGGGUUCGAGAUAAAUCUCAAGGCUGUGGGUUCGACCCCCACGUCGGGCU